RNAcentral lists this ribosomal RNA (265 nucleotides) under uncultured archaeon. RNAcentral describes it as "partial 16S ribosomal RNA". It matches the Rfam family "Archaeal small subunit ribosomal RNA", at positions 717 to 982 of the family's 1478-position model. The record is from RNAcentral.
AGACGUCUACAUUUAGAUACCCCUGUAGUCCCAGCCGUAAACUAUGCGCGUUAGGUGUAUCGGUGACCACGAGUUACCGAGGUGCCGAAGGGAAACCGUGAAACGUGCCGCCUGGGAAGUACGGUCGCAAGGCUGAAACUUAAAGGAAUUGGCGGGGAGCACCACAACAGGUGGAGCCUGCGGUUUAAUUGGACUCAACGCCGGGAAGCUCACCGGAUAGGACAGCAGAAUGAUUGCCGGGCUGAAGACCCUGCAUGACUAGCUG